GUGUGAGGUAAAACUAGUAAAUGUGAGCCUCUUGUGUGAAUGAGUGAGGUAAAACUAGUAAAUGUGAGUCUUUUAUAUGAAUGUGUGAGGUAAAACUAGUAAAUGUGAGCCUUUUAUAUGAAUGUGUGAGGUAGAACUAGUAAAUGUGAGCCUUUUGUAUGAAUGCGUGAGGUAAAACUAGUAAAUGUGAACCUUUUAUAUGAAUGCGUGAGGUAAAAAUUAUGAAUGUGAGGUAAAACUAGUAAAUGUGAGCCUUUUAUAUGAAUGAGUGAGGUAGAACUAGUAAAUGUGAGCCUUUUGUAUGAAUGUGUGAGGUAGAACUAGUAAAUGUGAGCUUUUUAUUUGAAGUGAAACAGUAAUGAGGUCAAAUCUUAAUCAACUUCAGGGUGGUAGGAAUUUCACAAAGAAGCAUUUUCCAAAACUUCUUUGUUACAAAAACAAAUUUCUUAAAGCUAGCAUGACUGCAAACUGGCCAAACACGGGCAGUGACAUUCUGACAUUUUGCCCAUGAUGUCUGUGUGUGUGUCUGGUUAAGUAACGGGUUGGCGAAAUGGAUCAAUUGAAGAGUGACUCAGUUCCAUCCCGAGGUCUUCAGGUUACUUCCUGGAAACGUUGAGUGGACAUUCCACUCCGAUAAAGACACCUCCUGGUUACACACACGCACAACCGAGCUGAGUUAUUUAUGCAUGGACAGUAUUAGAGUUCACCAAAGGCAGGCCAAAAUCGCCUCAUCAUGAUGUUAACACUUGGACUGUGUGUGUGUCAGAGUGAAGGAAAUAGUGCUGUGUAGUGUGCAUUCAGCAGUUCUUUUCCAUUCAUAUAGACAAGGUGAAAUGAAUGAAAAAGGAAUCUGUGACUCUCAAAGAAAACCCGAAUCCCCAAAAAAUGGUGCUUCGUUGUUUACAGAAUUCAUCCACAAAUUAAUAAUAGUUUUAUGGUUAAGAUCACAAAUCGGUCAAUAAUGGAUCCUAGCAAAGUAAAAACUUCAUCUUAAUUCUGUACAUAUGUACAUUGUGUGUGUGUGAGAGAGAGAGAGUGAGAGAGAGAGGAGGAUGUGGACAGUCUGUGUGGUUUCAGAGCCACAUGGAUAUUGUGUGUGUGUGUUUUAAAUUAUUCUCAGGGUCAUAGUGCUCAGUCACUGAUAGCUCUUCUCUCUCAU
This is a long non-coding RNA of Ictalurus punctatus (channel catfish), 1159 nucleotides long. The record is from Ensembl. Lineage: Eukaryota; Metazoa; Chordata; Actinopteri; Siluriformes; Ictaluridae.